RNAcentral lists this ribosomal RNA (452 nucleotides) under uncultured organism. Its description in RNAcentral is "partial 16S ribosomal RNA". It matches the Rfam family "Bacterial small subunit ribosomal RNA", at positions 332 to 800 of the family's 1533-position model. The record is from RNAcentral.
UACACUCCUGCGGGAGGCAGCAGUGGGGAAUAUUGGACAAUGGGCGCAAGCCUGAUCCAGCCAUGCCGCGUGAGUGAUGAAGGCCCUAGGGUUGUAAAGCUCUUUCACCGGUGAAGAUAAUGACGGUAACCGGAGAAGAAGCCCCGGCUAACUUCGUGCCAGCAGCCGCGGUAAUACGAAGGGGGCUAGCGUUGUUCGGAUUUACUGGGCGUAAAGCGCACGUAGGCGGACUAUUAAGUCAGGGGUGAAAUCCCGGGGCUCAACCCCGGAACUGCCUUUGAUACUGGUAGUCUUGAGUUCGAGAGAGGUGAGUGGAAUUCCGAGUGUAGAGGUGAAAUUCGUAGAUAUUCGGAGGAACACCAGUGGCGAAGGCGGCUCACUGGCUCGAUACUGACGCUGAGGUGCGAAAGCGUGGGGAGCAAACAGGAUUAGAAACCCGUGUAGUCCCAUGA